AGUAUUGGAUAUCCGCGUCCAAGCAGUUAGGCUGGGAAAUAGGCAAAUCCGUUUCCCAUAAGGCUGAGCUGUGAUGGCGAGCGAAUAUAGUAGCGAAGUUCCUGAUUCCACACUGCCAAGAAAAGCCUCUAGCGAGGCGAGAGGUGCCCGUACCGCAAACCGACACAGGUAGGCGAGGAGAGAAUCCUAAGGUGAUCGAGAGAACUCUCGUUAAGGAACUCGGCAAAAUGACCCCGUAACUUCGGGAGAAGGGGUGCUCUGUUAGGGUGCAAGCCCGAGAGAGCCGCAGUGAAUAGGCCCAGGCGACUGUUUAGCAAAAACACAGGUCUCUGCGAAGCCGUAAGGCGAAGUAUAGGGGCUGACGCCUGCCCGGUGCUGGAAGGUUAAGAGGAGCGCUUAGCGUAAGCGAAGGUGCGAAUUGAAGCCCCAGUAAACGGCGGCCGUAACAAUAACGGUCCUAAGGUAGCGAAAUUCCUUGUCGGGUAAGUUCCGACCCGCACGAAAGGCGCAACGAUCUGGGCACUGUCUCAACGAGAGACUCGGUGAAAUUAUAGUACCUGUGAAGAUGCAGGUUACCCACGACAGGACGGAAAGACCCCGUGGAGCUUUACUGCAGCCUGAUAUUGAAUGUUGGUACAGCUUGUACAGGAUAGGUAGGAGCCUUGGAAACCGGAGCGCCAGCUUCGGUGGAGGCAUCGGUGGGAUACUACCCUGGCUGUAUUGACCUUCUAACCCGCCGCCCUUAUCGGGCGGGGAGACAGUGUCAGGUGGGCAGUUUGACUGGGGCGGUCGCCUCCUAAAAGGUAACGGAGGCGCCCAAAGGUUCCCUCAGAAUGGUUGGAAAUCAUUCGCAGAGUGUAAAGGCACAAGGGAGCUUGACUGCGAGACCUACAAGUCGAGCAGGGACGAAAGUCGGGCUUAGUGAUCCGGUGGUUCCGCAUGGAAGGGCCAUCGCUCAACGGAUAAAAGCUACCCCGGGGAUAACAGGCUUAUCUCCCCCAAGAGUCCACAUCGACGGGGAGGUUUGGCACCUCGAUGUCGGCUCAUCGCAUCCUGGGGCUGUAGUCGGUCCCAAGGGUUGGGCUGUUCGCCCAUUAAAGCGGUACGCGAGCUGGGUUCAGAACGUCGUGAGACAGUUCGGUCCCUAUCCGUCGCGGGCGCAGGAAAUUUGAGAGGAGCUGUCCUUAGUACGAGAGGACCGGGAUGGACGCACCGCUGGUGUACCAGUUGUUCUGCCAAGGGCAUCGCUGGGUAGCUAUGUGCGGACGGGAUAAGUGCUGAAAGUAUCUAAGCAUGAAGCCCCCCUCAAGAUGAGAUUUCCCAUUCCGCAGGGAAGUAAGAUCCCUGAAAGAUGAUCAGGUUGAUAGGUCUGAGGUGGAAGUGUGGCGACACAUGGAGCUGACAGAUACUAAUCGAUCGAGGACUUAAUC
RNAcentral lists this ribosomal RNA (1430 nucleotides) under metagenome. RNAcentral describes it as "bacterial LSU rRNA". It matches the Rfam family "Bacterial large subunit ribosomal RNA", at positions 1494 to 2925 of the family's 2925-position model. The record is from RNAcentral.